Austrofundulus limnaeus is the source of this 3783-nucleotide long non-coding RNA. RefSeq lists it as uncharacterized. The transcript is spliced from 4 exons. NCBI's taxonomy places the organism in Eukaryota, Metazoa, Chordata, Actinopteri, Cyprinodontiformes, Rivulidae. The record is from RefSeq and is a predicted model, not a curated record.
GGGGGAAAACCCACUCUGAGAGAAGCUGAAUGGAUGGAGCCAGAGCCACGUCACUGGCAGCCGCAGCCAUGAAGAGCGCGCGCUCCAGCCUCGAGGCGAAUCACUCGCUCUCUGUCUCCCGAGACGAGCGCUUCUCGCUUUUGGAGUGCGGGAUCCCGCAGCGGCUCGCAAGCGACGGCGUCAGAUUUUGGCCCAUGUUGCUUUGCCUUGGGUUUGAAAGGAUGGGUAGCCUUAGGGGUUGAUUGUUAUCUUUGGUUAUCUAGCUGUAUGAGUGGUGUACAUUCUUCAUAAAGCUAGAUAACCGAAAGUAACAAGAAUCCCAUUACACUCCUGGAAAGGCAUCAAGACCCCAAACGCUCCUGACUUCAAAACAAAACACAAAAUCCAUGUGAAGAACCAGUAAAGGAAAGAAGAUGGACAACAUUUCAAAGGAGAUGGGAUCAUAAAUCAGAACAAGGUAAGACCCAAGUUGUCUCCGUUUGUUCUAGAUCUCUGGGAAGUUAUUUUUUUUCACUAACUACACAUUGACGUACUUUUUUGUGUAGUGAUUAAUCAUCAACUACAAAUAUUCUACAGUUUUAUGGCACCUAAGUCAAACAUUGUAUUACUUGCAACUCUCUACAGCCAGUGGCAGUAAUCCAUAAUAGUAAGGUUGGUACAACAGGAUCACUUUUAAUCUAAUUAGCCCCAUGAUCCCUGUAUGUGGAGCUGCAUGCAGGGGCUUAGAUUUAGUAUCACAUGGCUGUGAGGAAAAAAAAAAGAACACUGAUUUACCAAAGCAAGCAGAUUUUGACAACGUUGCAUCGGCACAUCCAGUCUUUUAGUUAGUUUGGCAAAUGUUUGUCUUUUGGCCAAGUAUUAGCUUGCAUCUUUGGCGUUAGGAGAACCUGUGUAAAGAAUGUGGACCUUUAUUAACAUAGGAGCUGUAUGCUGUGCAAUGAAUUAUACAUGUAUGCCUUAACUGAUUCAAUUGUGUGAUUUACAAACACUCCCUCCGGAUUAAUCUGGGGUCUCGUUUUGCUUGGAACCUAAGACAAGAAUUUGUUUGAGGCUAGUUUUGUUAAGUUAGCCAUUCUAGAUUUCCCCCCGUCCUUCCUAACUACUCCCUUUCACGCUUACGCCUGAAAAGAUGUUUGAUUUGGGGGUCCUAGCUGUUUGAUUUGACUUGUCAGUUGGCUUGGUUCUGAAUGGGUCGCGCUAAACCUUCUAUUCCAUGAGGUGCUACCAUGUGGAAAGACUUGAUGAGAUUUCGCUGAAUGCUGGUUUGUGUGGAUGCAAGGCUCAGAAAGGGGAGUGGUCCAGGGCCAAUCAAGCAGAAACUACCCCCGGUGACGAAGUCCACGAGUGAAAGAAGCGAACAAUCCGAGCCUUUCGGAUCUGUGCCAGGGCUCCUGGUGAGGAGUAAUUGGUCAAUCAGAUCUUCAACCUCAAGGCCUCUGAUGGCUGAUUGAAGGUGUGAUUUUUGUUCUGCCCAUCAAAGCUGAAGGGUCGCUCCAGCUGAGAGAGGCUGCCGAGAAUUGUUUACGAGGUCUCAAGGCUAUGUCACGACAAGCCUAGCAGUAAACCCCAACUGUAGGACAUAUUCCACUUACUGGUUUGCAGUUUCAACAUUGUUCAGCUAAACGAUCUCCUUGGUUUUGGAUAUAUUUAGCUUGACCUGGUACAAAUUUCAAACUGUUGUGGAGGGGCAAAGAGAAAUUUCUGUGUAAACCUUAGCUUGAAAUGUCAAUUUCUUCAAGUCCCACAGUUAAAUUGUGCCUUCCUGCUGCAUUGCAGGUGCUGAGUGUGACAUUUGAGCUCUGGGCUCAUCUAGUGAGGAACGAGGACCUUGACAGGAACUGACAACCAGAGAUGUCACUUUCUAGUAUGUCAGGGGACGUCACCAGUGUGGAAGAAACUGGCAAAAGAAGACUGAAAACAGGAAAGGAGGAGGAGGGGUUGCUGUUGAUUCUGCCCUCCCUCUCUUAUCGCCCUUUUCUGCAUCGCCUCUUACCUCCUCCUCCUCUUCUCUUUCUCCUCCACUCCAUCCUCAGCAGACUGCCCCCCCUUUUUUUUUCCUGUACAGCGAAAUGCAGCCCGCGCCACCAUCUUAGAGCUACACUGGCAUAAAAUGGAAGCAGGAAGACCAGUUUGUGCAGAUAAACACCGACGAUCAGGGGUGGGCUGCAGAAUGGACAGGACACACAAAGCGGGGACAGCGGGAAGCCUCUUCUGCCGACUGCUUGCUGCCAUUUAGAUGAAGUAAACAAGAGUGAAGCUGUUGUCUGCACACAACCUGAUGGGGAUUCUUGUUACGGCUGCGAGGCGCUGCAUCGUUUUACCCAGCAGUCAAACUGGAGCGGGAACAUCUCAUGGACUGCAGCUGUGGGAAUCUUUAACACAUUAUCAGCAGCUUUGUCAUAUGCACUAAUAUGUAUUUAUAUUUAAAUAUAUACACAUAUAUAAUUGUUUCAUUUACGUUUGUAAUUAUUAUUUUGCUGUAAACAAUAAGAUAUAACAUGUUACAAAUGAUCGUUAACCUAUAGGCUCCACUUAACUUUGAUUUGUUUUAAUUUGUAGCCCAACGUUUUUGUUCAGAUUCUGAUCCGUUAGAGUUGCCAGGACUCAAAAGACGCAUGAAUGUGAGACCCACGACAGCAGUGAAUUUGACUGCACUGCGAUUGGACGGCUCCGUGUGUCGGCUGACACAAUGGUGAAGGAGUGAGCUGUCGUCUUUAUACUCUAUGCAACUGUUCUGUCUCUUUUGCUUGAGCGGAGCCUUUUUCAUCUGUGUAAGGAUUUUUUUCUUUUGUUGGAUUUUUUGGGGGCUAAUCUUUUUUGUUUUUUUUGCAUUUGUUAAAUAUCAAAAUAAACAUUUUCUUUUUUUAAGGAGCCUACACUGUUCGUGUACAAAAAUACAGAGGAGUUUGAGUGUGUGUGUUCACUGUUGAUAGAUUGCAUCUCAUGUUUGCAGCCUUUGAUAGUACCGUGCUGUCAUAAAGAGAAUUUAAACCAAUGUAGACACAUAUUUAAUAAUCCUGAUGGCAGGAGUGUCUUUGAUCAGCAGGCCUGUGUACAGAAAAUGCCACACUAUUAAAAUAUGCUACCCAGCAUGCCUCCAGACACACCAGCUUGCUUCAUAACACUCACCUUGCUUCGACACGAUGAUACAUCUUUGGGUGAGACGCGACAAAUACAUUGGCUUCAAACACAGCCUUAAUUUCCUGUUAUUGACAUCAGCACACACACACACACACACACACACACACACACACACACAUUUAAAUGCAAUAAGACAAGUACUAUCACAGCCUAAUUCAUUCUUUAUUAAUUUUUGGGAAGUGGCAUUUUUUUAUUAUGAUUGAUAAUCUAUGCAAAUCUUUUAAAGUAUUACAUUAAACAGUCUAUGCAGAGCUUUUUGCAAUUGAUUCGAGGGAGACUAUCUUGGCCUAAUUUAGAAAAUGUAUUCUUUUGAUAAUCAUGCACAUCCCAGUGCUCAAGACAAUUACUUAUCUGCCUGGAUAAGCUUGAAAUUAUGUUUUUAAUCUUUUGCAAGAAAAAAAAAAGUCACUCUUCUGAUAUCAGUCCAAAGGCAUGAAAACCAUGAAUUUUGGUGUGUAAUAAUUAAAUCAGUGCCACAAAAUGUCGUUUUUUUUCAUGUAUAUCAAAUAUAUCUAUUUAACUUUGCUCAUUGGUCUAUGUUUGUAUUUAGCAACUUGAUUGCUAUGAAUAAGAGCUCACCACAUGUGCCUUUGUAUGCCAAACUGUGUUGGAAUAGUAAUAAAGGUUUACAUUGAAAACAAA